This 491-nucleotide long non-coding RNA is filed under the name Spirodela polyrhiza (greater duckweed). RNAcentral's name for it is "long non-coding RNA (SPOL_LNC000956)". The record is from RNAcentral. Lineage: Eukaryota; Viridiplantae; Streptophyta; Magnoliopsida; Alismatales; Araceae.
GGCUCGGCCUCGCCACCGCCAAGGCCCUCGCAGAGACCGGCAAAUGGCACGUCAUCAUGGCCUGCCGAGACUUCCUCAAGGCCGAGAGAGCCGCCAAAUCCGUCGGCAUGAACAAGGAGAACUACUCCGUCAUCCACCUCGACCUCGCCUCCCUCGACAGCGUCCGCCAGUUCGCCGACAACUUCCGCCGCUCCGGCCGCCCCCUCGACGCCCUCGUCUGCAACGCCGCCGUCUACCUCCCCACCGCCAAGGAGCCAACUUUCACCGCCGACGGCUUCGAGCUCAGCGUGGGCACCAACCACCUCGGCCAUUUCCUCCUCGCCCGCCUCCUCCUCGACGACCUCAAGAAGUCCGAUUACCCCAGCCGCCGCCUCAUCAUCGUCGGCUCCAUCACCGGUAAGCUCUCUCCCUUCCCUCCCUCCCUUGUCCACCGGCGGCGCCGCUGAUAUUUUCCGGCGAUCUCCAGGCAACACGAACACUUUGGCCGGGAA